RNAcentral lists this unclassified non-coding RNA (231 nucleotides) under Hevea brasiliensis (rubber tree). Lineage: Eukaryota; Viridiplantae; Streptophyta; Magnoliopsida; Malpighiales; Euphorbiaceae. The record is from RNAcentral.
AGCGCGUAUCAGGACUAUGUGCCGACGGCGAAAGCGCGUGCGCUGUUUCCGGUGCUGGUCGCGUCACCGAAGUGCUCGACGUGCUCGACGCGAUGCUCGGCGAACACAUCUACGAGCCGCGCGCCGACGGCGGCGACCCGCGCCAGUGCCCGAGCUGCGGCACCGGCAAGCUCAAUCUCAAGGCCGGCAAGUUCGGCGCCUUUGUCGGCUGCUCGAACUAUCCCGAAUGCC